Molecule: long non-coding RNA, 233 nt
Filed under: Marmota monax (woodchuck)
Lineage: Eukaryota; Metazoa; Chordata; Mammalia; Rodentia; Sciuridae
Source: RNAcentral
CACCUCCUGUGCUGAACCUAGGAUUACCUCCUGUGCUAUGCCUGGGAUCACCUCCUGUGCUGAGUCUGGGAUCGCCUCCUGUGCUGAGCCUGACAUCGCCUCCUGUGCUGAGCCUGGGUUCAUCUGUGCUGAGCCUGACAUCACCUCCUGUGCUGAGUCUGGGAUCGCCUCCUGUGCUGAGCCUGGGUUCAUCUGUGCUGAGCCUGACAUCACCUCCUGUGCUGAGCCUGACA